Molecule: long non-coding RNA, 1298 nt
Filed under: Homo sapiens (human)
Lineage: Eukaryota; Metazoa; Chordata; Mammalia; Primates; Hominidae
Description: HSALNT0122421
Source: RNAcentral
GCGGGGACAAUGAGCCUGGCAGCAGCACCCAGGGGCUCUUCCACAAAACACCAGUGGCAGCAGAAGUCAGACCAGAGUGAGGGAGCAGGGCCUCAUGGCUGGCAGGCACUUGUGGGGAGUAAAAUGUCCCCAAACCAACUCCCUGAAUCUCACCCAUUCUACAAGAAGGAUACAAAACUGUGCUCACUGGCACACAGAGCACCCAGGUCUCAGCCACCAGAGCUUUGUGAUACCCCACCUCUGGAGGGCCUCUCUCUGAUCUUGUAGGUGGGCAGGGCUACUCUACACUGUCCAGCGAUAAAUCUCCCCUCAGUGCCCAUUCAGCAGAGUAGUUCAGGUCUCAAAAGGAUCAUUUGCAGUUCCGCCUGUCCCAGACCCCUGUAUUUGCAAACAUAUGUCGAACUCUUCCUGCAUGCCAGGGAAAAAAAAUAAUGAGCACUUCCCUCAACAGGUUUACUGGCUGGUGUAAGAGUGUGAGUUUAGUGGAAUUAGGACAUAGCCAUGGGGUGCAGAGUCAGAGAGACGAGAGCUCUGUUACGUGUCCUGGUGAAAUGAAGGUACCUAAAACAGUGUAGGCACUCAGAGUAACAGUUCUUACUAUUACCAACAUCAUCAACAUCACCAUCACUAACACCACCAUAAACAUCAUCACUAUCAUCACAGUCAUCACCAUCACCACCAUCAUCAGAGUCAUUUACCAUCACCAUCACCAACAUCAUCACAGUCAUCACCAUCAUCAGGGUCAUCACCAUCACCAUCAACAUCAUCACCACCAUCACCGUCAUCAUCCACCAUCACCACCAUCAAUAUCACAGUCAUCACCAUCAUCAUCAUCAUCAUCAUCACCAUCAUCACUGUCAUCAUCACCAUCAUCAUCAUCAGUCAUCACCAUCAUAAGGGUCAUCACCAUCAACAUCAACAUCAUCACCACCAUCAACAUCACCAUCAUUACAAUCAACACCACCACCAUAUCCAUCACCACCAUCAAUAUCAUCACAGUCAUUACCAUCAUCACCAUCACCAUCAUCAUCACCAUCACCAUCACUGUGAUCAUCACCACCAUCAGCAGCAGCACCACUAUUAUUAUUAUGGUGCUGGUAUGAAAGACUUUCUCAGGAAAUACUUAGCCUUCACAUAUAAUUUUCAUCUCAUAAAUAAUGCAGGAUGCACAGAAGUCCCCCGGAGGAGCACAGGGCAAUGCUAUUCCCAACUCUCUACCACAAGUGGUGGUCUUUCUCAUAAUGAGGACAUAAUCUGCAAAUAGUGAAAGAUUCUGGUAACUUCAGGAUGCUGAGGUC